CCUACGGGUGGCUGCAGUGGGGAAUAUUGGGCAAUGGAGGAAACUCUGACCCAGCAACGCCGCGUGAAGGAUGAAGGUCCUCGGAGUGUAAAACUCUGUCGCGAGGGAUGAAGAAUGACGGUACCUCGUAAGAAAGCCCCGGCAAACUACGUACCAGCAGCCGUGGUAAUAUGUAGGGGGCGAGCGUUGUCCGGAAUGAGUGGGCGUUAAGGGAGUGUAGGCGGCAUAUUAAGUGAUGUGUGAAAGCCCGCGGCUCAACCGCGGAAUUGCAGAGAAAACUGGUAAGCUGGAGUGCAGGAGAGGUAAGUGGAAUUCCCGGUGUAGCGGUGGAAUGCGUAGAUAGCGGGAAGAACACCAGAGGCGAAGGCGACUUACUGGACUGUAACUGACGCUGAGGCUCGAAAGCGUGGGGAGCAAACAGGAUUAGAUACCCCGGUAGUC
Molecule: ribosomal RNA, 441 nt
Filed under: uncultured bacterium
Lineage: Bacteria
Description: partial 16S ribosomal RNA
Rfam family: Bacterial small subunit ribosomal RNA
Source: RNAcentral